GUUCCGGGAAGUUCCUACUGACGUACAAGAGCGGGAAAGGUCGGCCCCUAGCGUCCCUAUGGGAGCAUAGCUGAUGUCGAGGCGCUUUCUUGGCAGGCUGUAUGCGGAAGUUUCGUGAAAAUUAUUUCACAUUUGUAAAGCUAUGCUAUUGAUCUCGCAGAAAGGCUUUGAAGACUAGGAUGUAUUAUUUAAGGACAAGACCUGCAGCUAAUCCUGUCCAGUUCACUCUAAAUAAGGAAAAGCUGAAAGAUAAGGAAAAAGCAUCAAAGGAGGAAGAAGAGAAAGAGAGGAACACAGCAGCCAUGGUGUGCUCUCUGGAGAACAGAGAUGAGUGUCUGAUGUGUGGAUCCCGAGGAAAGACUUAGAAGAAAACAGCACGCCUUCCUUAGCCCAAACACUUGAGCAUAGAUAAGCAUAGUGAGUUUGCUUAAGAUUAUAUGGCUUUGCCGGACCAUGUUGAAACAAAAGGAAUAAUUGAUUUAAAGUACUGUUUCUAUUUGUGUGAAUGAUUUGAAAAAAAGACUUGACAUGUUGGGAAUCAAAGUAGAAGUUUUAAGUGCAAAAGAAGUUAUCUUGGAAAUAGGAAGUGGUUUAGUAAAGUUCAUCAUGUUUUAUGCUUCUUGAUAAAUUAAAAGGCAUAUAAUAUAGAUGAAUAAUAAAGCCAUCUGCCAGUAAGAAA
This is a long non-coding RNA of Heterocephalus glaber (naked mole-rat), 679 nucleotides long. RefSeq lists it as uncharacterized. NCBI's taxonomy places the organism in Eukaryota, Metazoa, Chordata, Mammalia, Rodentia, Bathyergidae. The record is from RefSeq and is a predicted model, not a curated record.